UACGAAGGGGGCUAGCGUUGUUCGGAAUUACUGGGCGUAAAGCGUAUGCAGGCGGAUCGUUAAGUCGGGGGUGAAAUCCCGAGGCUCAACCUCGGAACUGCCUUCGAUACUGGCGAUCUUGAGUCCGGGAGAGGUGAGUGGAACUCCGAGUGUAGAGGUGAAAUUCGUAGAUAUUCGGAAGAACACCAGUGGCGAAGGCGGCUCACUGGUCCGGUACUGACGCUGAGGUGCGAAAGCGUGGGGAGCAAACAGG
Molecule: ribosomal RNA, 253 nt
Filed under: uncultured bacterium
Lineage: Bacteria
Description: partial 16S ribosomal RNA
Rfam family: Bacterial small subunit ribosomal RNA
Source: RNAcentral